Molecule: ribosomal RNA, 545 nt
Filed under: uncultured eukaryote
Lineage: Eukaryota
Description: SSU rRNA
Rfam family: Eukaryotic small subunit ribosomal RNA
Source: RNAcentral
CGAUUAGUCAUAUGCUUGUCUCAAAGAUUAAGCCAUGCAUGUCUAAGUAUAAGCAAUUAUACAGCGAAACUGCGAAUGGCUCAUUAAAUCAGUUAUCGUUUAUUUGAUAGUACCUUACUACAUGGAUAACCGUGGUAAUUCUAGAGCUAAUACAUGCUAAAAACCCCAACUUCGGAAGGGGUGUAUUUAUUAGAUUAAAAACCAAUGCCCUUCGGGGCUCCCUGGUGAUUCAUAAUAACUUCUCGAAUCGCACGGCCUUGCGCCGGCGAUGGUUCAUUCAAAUUUCUGCCCUAUCAACUUUCGACGGCAGGGUCUUGGCCUGCCAUGGUGACAACGGGUAACGGAGGGUUAGGGCUCGACCCCGGAGAAGGAGCCUGAGAAACGGCUACUACAUCCAAGGAAGGCAGCAGGCGCGCAAAUUACCCAAUCCCGACUCGGGGAGGUAGUGACAAUAAAUACUGAUACAGGGCUCUUUUGGGUCUUGUAAUUGGAAUGAGUACAAUUUAAAUCCCUUAACGAGGAACAAUUGGAGGGCAAGUCUGGUA